GGGGAUCUUCGGAGCCCUUCACCCGAGACCCGCAAGGGUCGCGAAGCAAACGGAAGACAGAGA
This 63-nucleotide non-coding RNA is filed under the name unclassified sequences. RNAcentral's name for it is "L2-Alphaproteobacteria ribosomal protein leader". It matches the Rfam family "L2-Alphaproteobacteria ribosomal protein leader". The record is from RNAcentral.